Molecule: ribosomal RNA, 1773 nt
Filed under: Triticum aestivum (bread wheat)
Lineage: Eukaryota; Viridiplantae; Streptophyta; Magnoliopsida; Poales; Poaceae
Description: partial small subunit ribosomal RNA
Source: RNAcentral
AUGUUCCACCAUCGCCAUGGCUGUGGCUGGCCCUUUCUCCUCCUCCUCCUCCUCCUGCUUUUCCCCUUUGAUGAAUCUUCUCUCUUGCGCGGACAAGCGGCGGCCGCCGAUAGUCAUAGGGUCGUCCUGUACCCUCAGUCCACGAGGGUCUCGUCCAUCGUGAGCAGCAAGUACAGGACCGCCUUCCAUUUCCAGCCACCCAAGAACUGGAUCAACGAUCCAAAUGGACCUCUGUACUACAAGGGCUUGUACCAUCUCUUCUACCAGUACAACCCAGGCAGUGUGGUCCCGGGCAACAAGACCUGGGCCCAUUCGGUCUCCGCCGACCUCGUCAACUGGCUCAGGCUCGAGUCGGCAUUGGACCGGACCGAGCCCUACGACGCCAAGGGCUGCUGGUCCGGCUCGGUCACUGUCCUCGCCGAUGGCCGGCCAGCCAUCCUCUACACCGGCGCAGACGACGUGAAGAACCAGGCCCAGUGCAUCGCCUUCCCCAGUAACAGCUCUGACCCGUACCUCAGGGAAUGGACCAAGCCCAGCAGCAACCCGGUGAUCCGGCCGGAUGGGCCGGGUCUGACCCCAAACCAGUUCAGGGAUCCGACGACCGGCUGGACCGGACCGGACGGGCAGUGGAGGAUAGCAGUUGGGGCCGAGCUGGACGGCUACAGUGCGGCACUCUUGUACAAGAGUGAGGACUUUGUGAGUUGGAGCAGGGUUGAUCACCUGCUCUACUCCUCCAACUCAUCCACCAUGUGGGAGUGCCCCGACUUCUUCGCGGCACUGCCUGGCAACACCAGUGGACUGGACCUCUCCGCGGCGAUCCCAAAUCGCGCCAAGCAUGUCCUCAAGAUGAGCCUAGAUUCCUGUGACAAGUACAUGGUUGGGGUAUAUGAUCUGGAGGCCGAUAAGUUUGUGCCGGAUAAUGUCGUGGAUGAUAGGCGUCUGUGGCUGAGGAUCGACUAUGGCAAUUACUAUGCGUCAAAGUCAUUCUUCGACGCAAAAAAGGGAAGGAGGAUCAUAUGGGGCUGGGCUAAUGAGUCAGAUAGUUCGUCGGAUGAUGCCGCAAAAGGUUGGGCUGGGAUCCAGGCGCUCCCCAGGACAAUAUGGUUAGACAGUGAUGGCAGUCAGUUGCUGCAAUGGCCCGUUGAAGAGGUCGAGUCCCUUCGAAGAAAUGAAACUAAUCAUCAAGGAAUAGAGCUGAAAAAGGGUGACAUGUUUGAGAUCAAGGGGACUGAUACUUUGCAGGCGGAUGUGGAGAUAGAGUUUGAGCCGGGAACCAUGGAUGAAGCUGAUGCUUUUGAUCCUUCCUGGCUAUUGAACACGGAGAAGCAUUGCAGGGAAGCAGAUGCAUCAGCUCCUGGUGGCCUGGGGCCAUUUGGGCUUGUGGUUCUAGCCUCUGAUGACAUGGAGGAGCACACUGCCGUGCACUUCAGAGUCUACAAAUCAAAGCACAAGCACAUGAUUCUUAUGUGCUCUGACCUAAGAAGGUCGUCCCUGAGAUCAGGGCUGUACACACCGGCCUAUGGAGGCUUCUUCGAAUUUGACCUUGAAAAGGAAAAGAAGAUAUCUUUGAGAACAUUGAUCGAUCGUUCUGCGGUGGAGAGCUUUGGUGGUGGUGGCAGGGUCUGCAUCAUGGCUAGGGUCUACCCGGUCGCGCUGGUCGAUGACAGAGGCGCUCAUAUGUAUGCUUUUAACAAUGGCACGACCGCGGUAAUGGUGUCACAGCUCAAGGCAUGGAGCAUGAAGAGGGCACAGGUGAAUGUGAAGAAGGGAUGA